This 124-nucleotide signal recognition particle RNA is filed under the name Thermoleophilaceae bacterium. RNAcentral describes it as "partial signal recognition particle sRNA large type". It matches the Rfam family "Bacterial large signal recognition particle RNA", at positions 1 to 119 of the family's 256-position model. Rfam says of the family: The signal recognition particle (SRP) is a universally conserved ribonucleoprotein involved in the co-translational targeting of proteins to membranes. Archaeal SRP consists of a 7S RNA and homologues of the eukaryotic SRP19 and SRP54 proteins. In most bacteria, the SRP consists of a 4.5S RNA and the Ffh protein (a homologue of the eukaryotic SRP54 protein). The record is from RNAcentral. Lineage: Bacteria; Bacillati; Actinomycetota; Thermoleophilia; Thermoleophilales; Thermoleophilaceae.
CCGUGCUAGGCGGGGAUGUAGCGGAGCCCUAUACCCGCAAUCCGCUCUAGCGGGGCUGAAUUCCCGUCAUAGGGGCUGAGGCUCUUGGGGUCAGUACGCCGGACUGAGGCGUCGAUGGCCGGGU